GGGUCAUUUCCAAGAGGUGCCAGGGACCAUGAAACCGCAGCUAUUCAUUCACGUAUGACCAAAGUCUGAAGGUCUCUGCAGGAUGCCAGCCGCUCCACAGAGCUCUGUUCUCCCGAGGAACUGUCAGA
Molecule: small nucleolar RNA, 128 nt
Filed under: Chinchilla lanigera (long-tailed chinchilla)
Lineage: Eukaryota; Metazoa; Chordata; Mammalia; Rodentia; Chinchillidae
Description: Small nucleolar RNA SNORA25 (ENSCLAG00000018592.1)
Source: RNAcentral